Molecule: transfer RNA, 68 nt
Filed under: Olidiana obliquea
Lineage: Eukaryota; Metazoa; Arthropoda; Insecta; Hemiptera; Cicadellidae
Description: tRNA-Leu
Source: RNAcentral
UUUAAAGUGACAGAAAUAAUGUAAUGAGCUUAAAAUUCAUAUAUAAGUAUAUAUAUACUUCUUUAAAA